Alnus glutinosa is the source of this 840-nucleotide long non-coding RNA. RefSeq lists it as uncharacterized. The transcript is spliced from 3 exons. The record is from RefSeq and is a predicted model, not a curated record. NCBI's taxonomy places the organism in Eukaryota, Viridiplantae, Streptophyta, Magnoliopsida, Fagales, Betulaceae.
AAAUAAAAUGGGUAGCCUGGUUUGCUGUCCAACGAACAUGCUGAAUCUCCACCGAUCUCAAGCUGCCUAGUCUUUCUCUAGUAUCUUUGAUUAACUGCCCUGAGCGUGUCCAGCAGGAGUCCAGGGUCUUCAAAGCCGAGACAGUAUGCAACGAGUCUCCUUCGAAAAUGAUAUCCUGGAAACCUUAGAGAGCACAGAACUUUGCCGCUUGCCACGCUGCCAUAGCCUCCGCUACAUCCGGGUCAGUAAUUCCGGGCACUACAUUCGAAUAAGGCAUCCUUGGUGCUCUACCGCUCUGUGUGAAAAUUUCGCACAAAAAACCCAUAUCCCUCUUCUAACUUCAUUUUUCUCCUAACCUUUUUCUCUCUCAAACCUCUCGUCUUCAUCAUCUUCUCUUUUGCACCAAGCCCCUCUCCUCUUCUUCCUUUUUUUUUCUUUCCCUCCCCUGCAGCUACCCCCUUGCUGUGCCCCUCCCCUGCUCUGCCAUCGCAGAGAGAGAGAGAGAGGGACUGAGUGUUGGGUUUCGAAAUCAGUCUGAGGUGGACAUGGUCAGGGAUGCUGCGUUUCUUACGGUCAACACUCAACAGCAUUGACCAAAUCCGGACUCUUAAGGCCUCGAAGUUGAUUACUUAAAUAUUGGAGAUGGUCUUAGAAUACUGUUCUUCCCAAACCCAGAGAUCUCAUUGAUACUGUUCGAGAGCUGGUGGUUUCAUGGAAUCUUAAACUCAUCAUUGAACCUGGGAGAUCAUUGAUUGCAAAUACUUGUUGCUUCGUUAAUCAGGUAAUUGAGGUCAAAACUAAUGGAACAAAAAACUUUGUUGUGAUUGAUGGCAGCAUUGA